AAUCAACGCUGGCGGCGUGCCUCAGACAUGCAAGUCGAACGAUUAAAGCUCUCUUCGGAGAGUGUAUAGAGUGGCGCACGGGUGAGUAACACGUAAGUAAUCUACCCUCGAGUGGGGAAUAACAACCGGAAACGGUUGCUAAUACCGCAUAAUGCAGCGGCACCGCAAGGUGACAGUUGUUAAAGAUUUAUCGCUUGAGGAGGAGCUUGCGGCAGAUUAGCUAGUUGGUAGGGUAACGGCUUACCAAGGCUACGAUCUGUAACCGGUCUAAGAGGACGGUCGGUCACACUGACACUGAAUAACGGGUCAGACUCCUACGGGAGGCAGCAGUCGGGAAUUUUGGGCAAUGGGCGAAAGCCUGACCCAGCAACGCCGCGUGAAGGAUGAAGUAUUUUCGGUAUGUAAACUUCGAAAGAAUAGGAAGAAUAAAUGACGGUACUAUUUAUAAGGUCCGGCUAACUACGUG
This 466-nucleotide ribosomal RNA is filed under the name uncultured bacterium. Its description in RNAcentral is "bacterial SSU rRNA". It matches the Rfam family "Bacterial small subunit ribosomal RNA", at positions 32 to 507 of the family's 1533-position model. The record is from RNAcentral.